This 1108-nucleotide non-coding RNA is filed under the name Pan troglodytes (chimpanzee). The record is from RNAcentral. Lineage: Eukaryota; Metazoa; Chordata; Mammalia; Primates; Hominidae.
AGCCAAACAAGGGAAUUAUUAUCAAGUUGAAGAAGAAUGUGUCCCUGCCAAGGGAGGAUGAAAAUCUCAAUUAAAAUAUCCCCCAGUAUGUUUUCUUUUUGCUUUUUUAAGCUGAGAGAGUAAAACAAAAGGGAACUGUUUAUUUAUUUUGAAACAGUAUCUAUUCUACCCCAAAGUAGUGGUUUUUGACCUCUUUCCCUUUCAAGGAUAGCUUUUUCCUUAAAACUGUGAUCAAGACAGAGUCUUAAAAGUCGUGUCUUUAUUAGGAUGGGAAAAGAAGAAAGUUCUAUGAUUUAUGCUCUUGCCUUUUGUAAUGAAAGGAGCUAAUGACUUUCAACAGAAGUAUAAUUCACAAAAAGUAAAAUCCAUUUCAUUUAUUACCACUUAACUAAGUGCUUUUUCUAAUUUGAAAGCAAUGCUACCUCCCAUGCCUGGUCUGCAUUUUGUAUUUAAUCUGAAUGGUUUAUUCAACAGUAGUUCUAAUUAGCAAAAAGAAUCUAACAUUCUCUAUCCAUCUAGCCAAAUGCCGAGAUUGGCCAGAGGAUAAGGCAAAGCUGAAGAGUGACCUCUUCUUAUUGACUAGCAAUUGUUAUUCUUAGUUUCUUUAUAUCAAGAGACAGGCUUAUCCUCAUCAUCAUCAAAUCCCACUGAAGGAUAUUAUUUGGAGUUAUAACUUAACACUCUUCAACACUGGCAAGCCUGUGAAAUAAAUAAAGGCAGAUUUUUGUGCCCUUUCUUGUCUCUUCACCUCCUCUAAUAACUCUUGUCCCCUUAGAGAUGUCCUGACACAUCUAUACCUCUGCCCUUCCCCUGGCCAUGAUGCACCAGGCUGAUUGCAGUGCACUGUGAAUGAUGGUCCACUUUCUCCAUUUCAACCCUGCAGCACCUUUGCUGAGAUCUUUUCUAAAUCUCAGCUGCUCUUUCAACCAACAUGCACCUGCAGAAACAAAAUUUUCAUUCUCUCAAGUUAGGUAAACUGAAAUAUAACUUAAGACUCUAAUGGCUAAUGUAGCUUACUAUAUUAGCUUACUAAGAAGACCCUAACAUUUUUUCAUGGACUGCUUAAUGCUUUUCUCUAAAUAAAUGAACAAUAUGGAAAUUUCAUGAA